CAUUAAGCACUCCGCCUGGGGAGUACGGUCGCAAGACUGAAACUCAAAGGAAUUGACGGGGGCCCGCACAAGCGGUGGAGCAUGUGGUUUAAUUCGAAGCAACGCGAAGAACCUUACCAGGUCUUGACAUCCUCUGACAACUCUAGAGAUAGAGCGUUCCCCUUCGGGGGACAGAGUGACAGGUGGUGCAUGGUUGUCGUCAGCUCGUGUCGUGAGAUGUUGGGUUAAGUCCCGCAACGAGCGCAACCCUUGAUCUUAGUUGCCAGCAUUUAGUUGGGCACUCUAAGGUGACUGCCGGUGACAAACCGGAGGAAGGUGGGGAUGACGUCAAAUCAUCAUGCCCCUUAUGACCUGGGCUACACACGUGCUACAAUGGAUGGUACAAAGGGCUGCAAGACCGCGAGGUCAAGCCAAUCCCAUAAAACCAUUCUCAGUUCGGAUUGUAGGCUGCAACUCGCCUACAUGAAGCUGGAAUCGCUAGUAAUCGCGGAUCAGCAU
This 498-nucleotide ribosomal RNA is filed under the name Bacillus sp. M80. RNAcentral's name for it is "bacterial SSU rRNA". It matches the Rfam family "Bacterial small subunit ribosomal RNA", at positions 858 to 1355 of the family's 1533-position model. The record is from RNAcentral. Lineage: Bacteria; Bacillati; Bacillota; Bacilli; Caryophanales; Bacillaceae.